UGGUAAUGCCGGAUGCUCCGGUUGGAUGCAUGUCCUUCCGGGAAAGGUUCCAUCGGUAUGGGAUGGGGUCGCGUCCUAUCAGCUUGAUGGCGGGGUAACGGCCCACCAUGGCUUCGACGGGUAGCCGGCCUGAGAGGGCGACCGGCCACAUUGGGACUGAGAUACGGCCCAGACUCCUACGGGAGGCAGCAGUGGGGAAUAUUGCACAAUGGGCGCAAGCCUGAUGCAGCGACGCCGCGUGCGGGAUGGAGGCCUUCGGGUUGUAAACCGCUUUUGAUCGGGAGCAAGCCCUUCGGGGUGAGUGUACCCUUCGAAUAAGCACCGGCUAACUACGUGCCAGCAGCCGCGGUAAUACGUAGGGUGCAAGCGUUAUCCGGAAUUAUUGGGCGUAAAGGGCUCGUAGGCGGUUCGUCGCGUCCGGUGUGAAAGCCCAUCGCUUAACGGUGGGUCUGCGCCGGGUACGGGCGGGCUGGAGUGCGGUAGGGGAGACUGGAAUUCCCGGUGUAACGGUGGAAUGUGUAGAUAUCGGAAAAGAACACCA
RNAcentral lists this ribosomal RNA (541 nucleotides) under Bifidobacterium dentium. Its description in RNAcentral is "bacterial SSU rRNA". It matches the Rfam family "Bacterial small subunit ribosomal RNA", at positions 161 to 711 of the family's 1533-position model. Lineage: Bacteria; Bacillati; Actinomycetota; Actinomycetes; Bifidobacteriales; Bifidobacteriaceae. The record is from RNAcentral.